CGGGGCGUGGCCUAGUGGCUAUGGCGUCUGCUUUGGGAGCAGAAGAUCGGGAGUUCGAGUCUCCCCGCCCCGACCA
RNAcentral lists this transfer RNA (76 nucleotides) under Patescibacteria group bacterium. RNAcentral's name for it is "tRNA-Pro". It matches the Rfam family "tRNA". From Rfam's summary of the family: Transfer RNA (tRNA) molecules are approximately 80 nucleotides in length. Their secondary structure includes four short double-helical elements and three loops (D, anti-codon, and T loops). The record is from RNAcentral.